UGACCCUUAGGGGUCACCUAGCCAACUGACGUUGUUAGUGAAUAAAGUAUUCACAAAUAACAGCCAAUAGAGUCUCUUUUCUAUUGGCUAUUUUUUU
Molecule: small RNA, 97 nt
Filed under: Vibrio aestuarianus
Lineage: Bacteria; Pseudomonadati; Pseudomonadota; Gammaproteobacteria; Vibrionales; Vibrionaceae
Also listed under: 1 other name
Description: Qrr
Rfam family: Qrr RNA
About the family: This family represents a set of small RNAs (the Qrr RNAs) that are thought to be involved in the regulation of quorum sensing in Vibrio species. It is believed that these RNAs, guided by a protein, Hfq, can mediate the destabilisation of the quorum-sensing master regulators LuxR/HapR mRNAs.
Source: RNAcentral